UACGUAGGUGGCAAGCGUUGUCCGGAAUUAUUGGGCGUAAAGCGCGCGCAGGUGGUUCCUUAAGUCUGAUGUGAAAUCUCCAGGCUCAACCUGGAGGGGUCAUUCGAUACUGCCAUGACUAGAGGUCGGUAGGGGAGUGUGGAAUUCCUGGUGGAGCGGUGAAAUGCGCAGAUAUCAGGAGGAACACCCGUAGCGAAGGCGGCACUCUGGGCCGAUUCUGACACUGAGGAGCGAAAGCGUGGGGAGCGAACAGG
Molecule: ribosomal RNA, 254 nt
Filed under: uncultured bacterium
Lineage: Bacteria
Description: partial 16S ribosomal RNA
Rfam family: Bacterial small subunit ribosomal RNA
Source: RNAcentral